GAGAGUACAGGUACCCAUCAAUUUCAACUUGAAGCAUGAGGUGGAGAUGGAGGUGGGCGAUCGGAGUUGGGACGCUGGCCGUGAAGGUCUUUGAUCAAGCUGCCGAGUUCUUUGCGAGCAGAUUCCCUUCCGAACAUGAAGCCGUACCAGCCGGAAACAGCAGAGAAGACGGUUGCGGUGACAAUUGUAUGAAGGAGUGUGAAGGUUUUCUCCAUUUUUAUGGGAUUUGGGGUUUUGGGAAAGAAUUAUUUGUAUUUGAGAGAACGAAUGAGAGGUGAGCGUUUGAACUGUUUGAACUUUGAAGGAAUGAGAUCCCCUCCGGAUCAUGUAAUUAAAUACCACGUGAACAAUUUGUGGAAUUUUUUUAAGGGCAGUUUAAUAAAUAUUUUAUUUUGUUGUAAUUAAUAUUUCAUAUUGUGUGUUGCCACUUAGUACUAUGGACUAAUGAUAUUUUACUUGUAAGUAAAAUGUUCAAAUGCGAAUUUGAACCACAUUAUUGCUUAGCCAAUUGUGAGGCUAAACCUACCACUCUUCCCUUUAGUGUAGAUAAUAUCAUUUGUUUAAAAAAAAAAAUUCAUAUUUUUAUUAAAGAUUGGUUCGAAAAAUAUUUUAUUUAAAAACACUUUCAGUCAUUUUAAAAGCACAUCUAAACGAAUCAUUUCUUAUUAGGUUUUGUAUUACUGAUUUAUUAUAAAUAAAAGCACUUGCAUAGGAGAAUAUCAGACAUGGAUCCUCUCCGGAUCCAAUUGUACUAAUCCUAGGGAUCCAUCAAUCCGGACCGUUGAAAUUUGAUCCAACGAUUAAAGUUAUUAUAACUUUUAAAGUGUGCCCCUGUUUGUAACCGUUAGAUCAAAUUUUAACAUCCAGGAUUGAUGGAUCCCUAGGAUUAGGACAAUUGGAUCCGGAGAGGAUCAAUGUCCAGAGAAUAUCAUCCUACGAUUUCCCUAGGUACUCAUGAAGUUAAUAAAAAAUUUAUUUUGUCAAAAACGUUUAUAAAAUUUGAAUCCAAAGUUUUCGAAAAACUGUCAUAGAAACUCGUUGAUUUUUUUUUUUUUAAAUAUAACCCCCAUGAACUCAAAGUUUUCAUGAAAAUUUAAACCAAAACAUGCCUAAUUUAACCUAAAUAUUCUACUCCUUGUAUAUGAAUGAUUUGAUUUCUUCAUUGUACUAACCACAAUCAUGUUUCUUUUUGUGACAACAACAUGUCGCAACAAACUCGACUUUACCGCUGGCGAAGCUGAUAAAGUAACCGCCAUGAUCUUCAUACGAAGGCAUACGCAUGAAGUAAUGCAGACCAAAUACUCGUUGAUGAUGAUCCACAAGCUUUAUGGCUUGCUGUGAAGAACAUUUUGAUCAUCAAAGAGAGAUCUUUUUUCCUGAAGCUAGACAUAACUUGCAGCAUUUAUGCUUCAGGACUUUAAGUCUGUGAAUAAAUACAAUUAGAAAGUUUGUCAAAUUUGAUCAGUUCUCAAGUUUUGUAAAGAUGACUUGAUUGAACAAAAUCUCUUGGAGAAGACCAAUCUAAAUUUCCAUGCCACCAAUAUUGUACCCCUAUUAUGAAUAGGAAGGGGAUCUUCAUUACCAAGAAUGACAUAAGUAUUACCAAUAUAGGGGUGAGGAUCCUAAAGAGCACCACCAUUGUUAGUCAUGUGAUAGGGGGCACUAGUGUCAUGAAAUCAAUUCGGAUCCAAACUAUAGCAUGGAGCAUGAAACCCAAUGAAAGUAGCAGUAGGAUGGUGAUCGUAAGUCGUGACAUGAUAACUUGGAGAGUUACAUUAAGUGCACCAAAAGGCGAGCAGAGCACCAAUGACACCCUGACCUGUGGGGCUGGGUGGAUGACCCUAAAAGGAUUAUCAUCCAACCUUAUGGGAUGUUAGAGAUUGUUGCGUCGAAGAAGUUUAAAUGAUUUGAGAGAUCUAAAGACAAUUAACAUCUUCAUCACAGUUGAGUACAAGCUAAAGUAAAGAAAAGAAGACAUUUUCAUUUCAUUAAAUGAUGAAGUUACAUGGAGAUUCUACUCAGCUCCUCUGAAGCAACUAUCUUAAGAUGGUGUGCUGACGUAAAAAUAAAGAUUCUACUCAGCUCAUCUGAAGCAAUAGAAUCCCUCUGCAUCCAUGCUUAAAUGACCCAUGCUGCUAUGUGGGUGCACUAAAGCCACUCUAUGGAAUGGAAAAUUUGGGGGCAUAUGCUAAGGCUGAGGCCCAUUACCAAUCUCAUGGUUGAACCCGUCAUUCGAAUCAAUGAGAAGCUGAUGGAUACUUUGACGCUCGAGAAGAAUAAGGCUCGGGCUGAUGAUGGUCUUCCCAGAAACUUUGAUAUUGAUCCCAAAGCAUACACCUAUGAUGAUGAAGUGACCAAGGAUGCAGAAGCUAGGAUUAGCCUUAAGCAUGUUGCUUUUUGCGGCUACUGAAGCCUGAGAUAUCCAUGCAGGUCUCAAAGAAAGCACUCAUCUCUCAUCAAAGAAAAACUCAGUACAUAGGUCAAACCAAAAUCUGUGAGGGCCACAUGACAAGUGGCACAUGGUGGAAAUCUCCUCACCAAUCUCACAAGAGGGCUGAGUUCAAACUCAAGGUGCUAUCAAGAGCUGUGAAAACCAGGGAGGAUUUUCUGGAAAAUAUGAAGGUUCUGAAAAUUCUGAGAAGAUUAGGAGAUUAAAAGCUUGAAAUUAUUAAGGUGUUUAACCAAGUAGUUAAGAAGGAAAUUUAUAGUGGACAAUCAACUUAGAGAUAGGAUUUGGGGGUUAGCGCAAGGGUCUGGAAGUGCAACGGCUGUUUUAAUUAAUGAAAGUUCCAAGGAAGACGCACCCUGAUUUAAUCAUUAUUAGCGUCUCAAAGGGCAGACUUAACAAUGGUUAAAGGGGGCAUUGUUUGGGUAGCAUUUGAACUUUGGGCCGAAAGGAAGGAGGGCCCAAAAAGACUAAAGAAAUGAGGCUUGCUCAAAACCCAACACCAAGCCCAGACCGUCCAUCUUAAGACCAAUUGGUGCUCUCCAUUAAAUGCAAAGAUUGGGUGCUUACAAAGGAAGUGACAACCAAUGGAAAUCCACUAACUCUCGGCCUAAAAGCACUUUACAAAUGGCAUAGCAUGUAAAUUACUGAUGGUUCCCUACCCUCCAAAUUGCUUUCGGGCAAGAACAGAAACAUCACAAGUUAAGUUAAUUCAUCUAUAAAAGGAGGAAGAGGGCCCAGAGACAAGGACACUCAACCAAUCAAACAAACAAACAUACAACUUGUCUCUCAGCCAAGCAAAUACCCAGAAAGCCGUGCUUUGUCAAAACUCUGCACCCUUUUAACCUUAGAUUUCCUUAGAAAGACAUCUUUUGUGUAUGUAAAAACUUUGCUACCUUUUCUUAAAUGUUGUAGUAUCGAUCCCUCUUAUGUAAACUCUUUUCUAGUUAUCCCCUUUAGUAUUCAAUCCUUUGUAAACUGCAAAGAGAAGAGACGUAAGACUUUUAACCUUGCCUGACAAGGUGAAAUCUUGCCCGACUCUCUUUGUUUUUGUUUUUCAAUUAACAGAUCUGGUGUUAUAAUGUAUUCCCUAGUUUAUAUUCAAGUUAUUUCUAGUCCUUUGAUGACUCAAACCCCUAUCAAUUCUCAGAUAUGGUUCACUUAGUGGUUUUAUCAAGAUUGGAAUGAAUUAAACUGAUGCCUUGAUCAGAUUUGGACCUUCACCCCUCGAGCAUACAGGAUAACUAAAAGUCCUUGAUCUCAAGGCAUAGAAAAGAACUUAAUGUAGGCUUAACCCAUCUACAACAAUCCUUUGAUAAACAAGAAGUUAGAAAUAACUUAGGGCGCAAGUAAUCGACUUAAAACACACUUGUUCUACAUCUGCCAUACAGAAAUGGUAGUGGCACGCCUAAUCACCUAGUUGGUUUUGAUUGCGAGUCUCAAUUCCUACACCUAAGGCCCUCACAAAGGCAUAUUUUAGAACUAAUUAUGUUAUCGUCUUGCAGUAUUGUGACAAGCAGGAGCUCGACAAUCAACCAAAGUGCCAACUCCUCAGGAAGCUGUGUGCUCGAGCCAGGAACGCCCACCAGCCAGAUUUCCUGCCCGAACAAAAAUAUCAAGUAACUGAAAUUGAAGAUUAGUAGCAUUAGCCAUAGAAUCCUGAGAAAAGUGCUAAUGAAAACAAUCCCAAAUAACCUUGGAUGAUGGUUUGCCGACGACAAGCGAGAGAAUCGACUCAGAGAGAGUAAAGGUAAGAUAAAUGCACACCAACUUAUCCUGUUUGUACCAACUGACAUAGGCAAGAUUGGGCUUGGCAGGAGCAUCAUUGAAGGUAGGGAGAGUGGCUGCAAGGGCAGCAUUCGAUUCAUCAACAAACUGAAACAAGUCAUGGCCAACCAAGAAGGGUUUCAUCUGACAAGUCCAAAGAAGAUAGUUGGACUACGUGAGUUUGAGAAAUGAGCGACAUUGGGUCUCGAGAGAGGAGAAGUUACGCAAAGAAAAAUAACCUAAACGAUUGAUAUCAUGUAGAAAGUUUUAACUGAAGGAUUUGAUUGAUAUGAGUAGUAUACAACUGGUGUCAUCGUUGAGUGACAUGAGAAAUAGAUGAUAAUUGUAUACAACUGUUCACAAUUACAGGAUUUCUCAAUUGCUGGUAUAUUCAUAUAGCUGGUGUUGAAAGGAUUUGCGAUUGAGUUUGGUACACCUCUUGAGCAUUUAACAAAAUCAUUUGAACAUUUCUUAGUCCGCGAAUCACUCCAUAUGAUGCUCUCAUAUGUUUUCUUUCAACCUUAGUCACUAUGGUAUUAGAUCGAAAUCUUAUUGUUCCCUGCAGUAAUUUGAAGUAGCCUCGAACUCUAUAUAUAGCUGUGGUUUCGGUUUUCACACUUACGGUGCAAGUAGCAAAUAUGUUUCCUAUAUCCCUAUGAACCGAGAAUCACCAUCGAAAAGGAAACCUGAAACUACAAACUCUAACAGAGAGAGACUACAAACUCCAAGUUUUAAAAAACGCAAAUGGCGCCUCUCAGUAGGAGACUACAAAAGUGAACAAAAGAAAAGACAUACCAUGGUUGUGGGCUUUAUAUAUAUAUGCACACAACGGCACAAACCAGAAGAAUGCUGCAAUCAUUUUGGUUGAACACCAACCAAGUUAGACAACAAAAUUUGACAAAACCCCAAAUUGUGAACUUUAGUCAUUCAUUGAUUAAGUGAAUUUCCCCUAAAAAGUAAGAAAGUAGAAACAGAAAACAAAUAGAGUACAUGAAAAAAUAAGACUGAAAUCAAACAGAAAUAGCCCAACGCGAAGAAGAAACGAAAAAGGUAAUCCACUCUAGGAAGAAGUGAUCAUCAUGAAGCUCUGGAAUCAAAUUACCAACUCUGAUCUUUUGGACAGAUUUGAUAAAACUUGGGGUAGAUCCAUACCCCUUUGUAUUUGGGGCUUUUGCAUUCACCAGGAAUGGUCUCAUUACAAAUGAAUGGGUCGUUGCCAUCUUCUUGCGUUUGUGUCCCUGUUUGGGCCCAAAAUAACAGUUUGGGCCGAGUGUAGGGUCAUUCUCGGCCCGGGAGGCCUUGCGACAAGAAUACCAUGGAUCGUUCAGUACGUGGGCCUCCAAACCUAGGUUGGCUAGGUCAUAACGCAAGAGGUCGAAUCCUAGUGCAAUAAGGAGUCUCGGCAGGACCCGGAAACGAAUCCGGCUCAGGUAAAGGACUAGGUUCACAGUCCUAGUGAAGGUAGGACUGGUCGAGUUGAUGCUGAUCAAGGGAAGAAAACCUAGUCCGAGUAGGUUUUUAACUCGACCUUGGGGGGAGCCAUUGCUAUAAAUAGAAGAGGUUGCACAUCAUUCAAACCCCUGCAAAUCAAUACAAAAUUGCCCUGCGCAAACUCUCACAACUUGUGAUUUUUCUUUUUUCCUUUUUCGCUGACACAUCUUCCGUUGGCAUCAACAGCACUGUGGAAGCAACCGGUGAUAUCUUAAGUCGGUAUAGAUAGCUCUGUCACCGUAGAAUCGAUCGGUCUUGCAGUAUCUUCCGUUGGCAUCAACAGCACUGCGGCGAGAACGGUUGAUUACCUAUCCAAGUCUCGGUCGAGAAGGGUUUCUGAACCCUUAUUGGUCGAGGUCAUCUCAUCAGCCUUCUCGGCGAAGUGAGGUGUUACAGUUAUUACAUUCGGCACAUUGAAAGCCGAAUUUGAUAUUGAACUUCGUAAGAAUAGUAACCUUGUCUUCAGGUUCGAGAGCCCAAGAGGCUGAGACGUGUUCCUUUCUCGGCCGCAAUCGCAAGACGCAGAAGUCAGUAGCGCGACCCAACGCAACAUUAAUAAAUUUACUCCUCGGCCGAGCUCGGCCGACGAGUUGGCACGCCCCGCAUUCACCGAAGGACGUAGUUAGCUCAUUAAUUACUUGGCCUGCGCGCCACGUAGGCUUUGUAGUUUCUAGGGUCAACAUUUUGGCACGCCCGGUGGGACCCAGUGCUAAACUACGAAGUUCAUGCCAAUUGAAACACGAUCGGUAAAAAAGAAAACAACUAUGGGAAAGUCGACAGCCGAUUUGCCGAAUCAAAGCCUGGGACAAAGUGUGCCGCAGGCGCAGAAUCCCCUUAGCGCUGUGAUACCUGAGUCCACGAGCGCGACUAGCUGAGAGAGAGAAGUUAAUCUCGGCGGUCAACUCCGUGGUUUAGAAAUCCCUAACAGAAACACAUGCGUUCUCAAUGAAGGGAUAGUAGAGGAGUGUGACGAGGAUGGUGGUGAAGGAUCUGACCUACCAACGAGGUCGUUUCUCCGAAAGCGACUAGACGAGCAGUCUCGGUCAGUCGAGCAGACGUUCAGUCGAGGCAUUGACAAGCUGCAUGACGCGAUACUCAGUUCCAAUGAUCGACAAACCAGGCUGCUCGAAAUGCUGGUUAGUAAAGUUGGUGGCAGCAGGCCUUUCGAUCUUCUCCAACAUUGUCCACCAGGAAACAACCCGGUACCGAUUGUACCUGCCGAGCCUAUUCCUGCUCCGCUCAAACCAAUUAACUUGGAAAAAUGAGGAGGGUCGAAUAGUAGGUCGGACGGAACCAACCAGAGGAUCGAAGCAACACCUGUUGAUAUGACCGAAGUUCAGCGGAUGAUCGACUCGGCCAUGAAGAAAGGGCCGAAGUUUCCCAAGUUUAUUCAUCUGUACCCAGCUUACGUGGAAACGUUUGGAUACCCGAAGGGUUUCAAGAUCCCAUAUUUUAGUCUUUUUGCCGGUGAAUCGUCCCUGUCUUCGUUGGAACACGUGGCUCGUUUCACCGCGCAAUGCGGAGAUGUUAAUAGUGAUUUCCAUAAGUUACGGCUGUUCAACUUUUCAUUGACCGGCUCGGCAUUUGCCUGGUACAUCAAUCUCCCUCCUAAUUCCGUCCAAAACUGGGAGGAGUUGGUCGAGAAAUUCCACGAGCAGUUUUAUCGGCUGGGGAUGGAGAUGUCAGUCUCUUCAUUAGCACGGAUGGCUCAAGCAUCUGAUGAGUCACCAAUGGAUUAUCUUACCAGGUUCAAAUCAGCUAGGAAUUGGUGCCGAGUGCCUUUACCCGAAGUUGAAUUUGUCAGGCUUGCUUUGAACGGCCUCGACGUUGAAUACAAAAAGAAAUUCUUGGGGGCAAAUUUUUGGGAUAUGUACGAAUUAGCCCAACAUGUCGAGCAGUAUGAUUAUUUGCUCCGCGAGGAAAAGACUUCGAAGACUCCAACUCGGGGAACGAUUUACAAGAACCCUACUGUCAAUUAUGCAUCAACCGAGGAUGAAUGCGUUAGUGUGGAUGCGGCUGAGAUAGUGAUAGAUAAGCCAUACGUUUGCAAGGCAUUGACUCAGGUUGAUUCUAGAGAAGCCAAAAGUCGCUUGGCCACUGAAGGAACAUUGAAACCAUCAAAGGUUUAUACUUUUGAUAUUACCAAGGCUGACGUAAUUUUUGACCAACUGUUAUCAGCAAGAAUUAUCAAGCUUCGGCCUGGUCAUAACAUUCCUAAGGCCGAAGAGCUUAAAGGAAAGGUGUAUUGCAAAUACCACAAUUCGAGUAAACAUACGACAAACAAUUGCGUUGUAUUUCGCAAUAACGUCCAAAGCUGGAUUGAUAAUGGCAAACUGAAGUUUCCCGAGAAGAUGAUGAGUGUUGAUACUGAUCCGUUCCCCACGGCAACAGUAAAUAUGGUCGACGCGUACCUACCCAAGGACAAAGGGAAAGGCAAGGCCGAAGUGGUUGAGACGCAACGCCCGCGGAAUCAGAAUUUUCAGCCACGAUUCAUGGCCGAUUUUCAUUCAAACAAACCACCUACGGCUUUAACGGGGCAAGCUAUUGUCAAACCUAUGAUGGAUUAUAGCACCGAUGAAGACAGUGGGAUGGUGGUUUUGUGCAGGAAAUGUAGAGCGAAGGUCGACAGUGAACCAGAUGAGAAGCCUUUUUCACAACCUGCGGCCGCAACUCGGCAAAAGGUAGCCAAUGAAGGCCAACAUCACGGGGUUUUUGAGAGGCUCGGUCCUAAAGUACGGAUGGAAGAGACACCCCCGGUCAGGCGGCACCUCGAUUUUGAUGCUUCAUUCUAUGACGAUGAUUACCAUAAGCGUAAUUCUAGUAGUUUAGAAUCAUCGUGGAACCAAAAGACCUUCAAGCCUCCCGAGCCUAGAGAUCAACGUUGGUAUACAUAUCAUUCUUCGAAGGGCGUCUACACCGCGUUGUCCAAAUCUCAGAAACGCCGGCAUCAACGGAUAGAUUGCAUGGCUCGCCGACGAGCAGCCCAAGAAACUUCGGCCCCUAAGUGGCGGCCGAAGGACACAGCUGCCACUGAUGAUGAGCGACCACCUCCAGUAAUUAUGCCAGAGUUGGUACAGGGGAAACGGCUGGUCGAUCAAGAUGUCGAGACCACGUUUGAAGAAGAUGAUAAACGAAUCAAACUUCUCAUUCGACCAGGGGAGAUGAAGGCACGCCUUGAACAUUUCAGGCAAGAGGCCGAAAGCAAAUUAUCCCCGCCGGCUAUACAAGAACCUUUGGUCAAAAUUCGACGGAAUUUGCAUCCCCCGUUCCUUGGGGAGUCUUUGGAAUAUAUGCGAGAAUUUCAUAAGAAACAUUCGGCCAACGAUCUGUAUGGUUUGCCGAAGGCAUGCCAGGACACCAUUGAUCUUGUCCUGACUUGUUCGGAUGCUGAGCGGAUCAUCCAGAAGACCUCAGAUGCAGGAUUGAAAGCAAGGUUCCAGCACAUACGAGAAGCUCGUGUCUUUGGAUUUGAAGUCGACCCGUACAUCGAUAUCGAUGUAGCCGACCUUCCUUUCUUGCUGGAGGACCUUCAGUAUUUACGAUAUCACUUUGAAGUAUUUUCGGCGGUUUCUCUCUUCGGCCUUACGACCGAUGAAAUCGCACGUAUUGCCCGUCUGGAUGCUUAUCUCGACACUAGGGAUGCUCGGCUACACUACCAGGAGCAGGUUUAGGUCCUGACCCCAAGUUCAUUGUCAAUCUCAACCUUACCUGAGGCGGUCACGCAGAACCAACAAGUCGCCGAAGCAGCUCCGCCGAGUGACGUCAUUGAAAAAUGGACAGAAGAGUCUCGUUGUCCGACUCUGACGACAACUGAGUCCGUAGUCGCCGACCAACCGAACGAGGAAGGUCUUGACCAGAUGGGCCCGUCAGUCCUGGAUAAUAUGGAAAUCAGUAUGGUCCAUGUGUUACCUGUCGAUUUUCAAUCAAGCACGGCUCAACCAAAUUUCCUUGAUGGAGAUGUGGUUGCCGAGGAACCCGGCCAUGUUGAUUUUGUAUUGAUUGCUGAAGGCGAGUCAACAACAAAAGAUGAUAGUCUAAAGGUCGCUUUGGUCGAAUUGUUCCCUCAUUCAUCGUCGGCCAAGCUUCACCAUUUAAAGCCGCUGUAUGUGACGGCCCACAUCGAGGGAUAUCCAGUUUCUAAAGUUUUUGUCGACUGUGGAGCUACAGUCAAUAUCAUGCCUCUGAACAUCAUGAAGGCCUUAUGCCGUUCAAAUGACGAGCUUAUUCCGUCAGGAAUCACAAUGAGUAGUUUUGUCGGUGACAAAUCCCACACCAAAGGUGUACUUCCGUUAACUGUAAAUAUUACCAGUCGCACCCACAUGACCGCCUUUUUCAUGGUUGAUUCCAAAACCGAGUAUAAUGCACUGCUCGGCCGAGAUUGGAUUCAUCAAACCAGUUGUAUUCCUUCCUCAUUGUACCAAGUGCUUGUCUUUUGGGACGGCAAAUCAGUCACUGUUCAUCCGGCCGAUAGCCAGCCCUUCGAAGCUAACAUGAUCCAAGCACGGUAUUAUGACGAUCACGUCGGCUACAUUACUUUGCAAGGCUUCAAUGAAGAGGGACGGCCGACUCGGAUUUCCGUUCAGAAAGCUAUCGAGGUUGGCGCCGAGACUGUCCAGCAGGAUUCGGCGAGACUCGGAUUAGCCAACUUCCUCCCCGAAGCCGAUGUUUGACACCGAUCGGGAAACACGCAGGGCCGCGGUUUCAUCUACUAUGGAACAACUGCUGGCCCAUUGGUAUACGAUAUCUAAGCAACCCAAUUCGGGCGUCAACCUCGUCGAGUUCCUUGCUGAGGGAGAUAAUGGGCCUGUAUUAUCUUUUAAUAAAAUUCGAGCCGCCCCGGCCGAGCUCAAAGAUCGUCGGCCCCUAGUUAAGGACCCUUUAGAAGAGAUUAAUGUUGGGACGGCCGAUGACCCACGACUUUUGUUUAUUAGUGCUUUACUUCCCUAACGAAUGAAAGACGAGUUUCGUACCUUGCUUACGGAAUUCAAAGAUUGUUUUGCUUGGAGUUAUCAUGAAAUGCCCGGCUUAGAUCGUACUCUGGUCGAGCAUGAAUUACGUAUUAAGCCCGGAUUUAAACCUUUCCGUCAGCCACCUCGUCGAUUCUCGACCGAAGUACAACUCAGUAUCAAGGACGAACUAGUUCGGCUUUUGAAAGCCGGAUUCAUUCGGACAGCUCGAUAUGUCGAAUGGUUGGCGAAUAUCGUUCCUGUAUUAAAGAAAAAUGGUGCACUGCGCAUCUGCACCGAUUUUCGAAAUCUGAAUCUGGCAACUCCCAAAUAUGAGUAUACAAUGUCGAUUUCAGAUCUGGUAAUCGACGCCGCGGCGAAUCAUGCGAUCUUAUCCUUUAUGGAUGGACAUGCCGGGUACAACCAAAUAUUUAUUGCCGAAGCCGAUGUGCACAAAACUACUUUCCGUUGCCCGGGGGCACUCGGCACUUACGAAUGGGUUGUCAUGCCAUUCGGCCUCAAGAAUGCCGGCGCCACGUACCAACGGGCGAUGAACACCAUCUUCCAUGAUUUAAUUGGCACCAUCGUCGAAGUUUACAUCGACGAUGUUGUCGUCAAAUCUAAACGCCGACAGACACAUCUGGACGAUCUCCGACAGGCUUUCCUCCGCAUGCAUCAGCACAACCUCAAGAUGAAUCCUGCCAAGUGUGCCUUCGGUGUAUCAGCCGGGAAUUUUCUUGGUUUCCUCGUACAUCAUCGUGGGAUUGAAGUCGAUGAGAAUAAGGCACGCGCAAUCAUCACUGCCCCACCCCCAACGACGAAGAAACAGCUCCAGUCUUUACUCGGACAAAUCAAUUUCCUCCGCCGAUUUAUUGCCAACUCGGCAGGAAAAAUGAAAGCGUUUUCCACACUCUUAAAACUCAAGGACUCAGAUAAAUUUGUGUGGAACGACGAGCAUCAGGCGGCGUUUACGCAAAUCAAAGUCUCCCUCACGAACCCACCUGUCUUGGUUCCUCCCCGGCGCGGUAAGCCUCUUAAGCUCUAUAUCUUGGCGGCCGAAGAGUCCAUCGGCUGCCUCCUCGCGCAAGAUAACGACGCCGGACGGGAACAGGCUAUUUUUUAUCUCAGCCGUAAUCUCAGUCAACCAGAGAUCAAUUAUCCAGCCGUCGAAAAGCUGUGCCUAGCCGUUUUUUUCACCGCUUCCAAGCUUCGGCAUUAUAUGCUCCCAUCGGUCACCCAGGUUAUUGCGCAGACUGACGUCAUCCGCUACAUGCUCACCCGACCGAUCGUAAAAGGCCGCAUUGGGAAAUGGACCAUGGCACUGUCCGAGUUUAGCUUGCAAUAUGUAGCUCAGAAAGCCGUCAAGGGCCAAGCAUUGGCUGAUUUCCUUGCUCAACAUCCCUCCCCAUACGGUUUUGAGGGCAACGACGUUGACAUCGGCAUGGUUCAGACGCGCGACAACCACUGGACGAUGUACUUUGACGGCUCCAGUACGUCAUCUUCGGUGGGCGUGGGAAUUGUCAUUCAAUCCCCGAAUCAUGAUCGCUGGUUCUUUUCGCUUAAGUUGGAUUUCGAUUUCACCAACAAUCAGGCUGAAUAUGAAGCCCUAAUCGUCGGCCUUGGAAUUCUCCAUGACCUGCGGGCAACCCGCGCCCUCGUCCUCGGUGACUCCGAGCUUGUGAUUAACUAACUUAAUGGUUCCUUUCGUUGCAUGAGUUGUACCCUGGCACCUUACCAUAUGGUCGCCAGCUAUUUGGCCGAAUCCUUCGACGGUAUUACAUUUCAACAUAUUUCCCGGUGUCAUAAUACCGACGCAGAUGAAUUGGCUCAAAUUGCCUCCGACGCACAACUCUUGGGGGGCAAACUAGGCCAAGAGAUACCAGUGAUACGACAGUUAUACCCGGCCUUGGUUAACCAGCAAAUCCUCCGACGGGACGACGUGAUACGCACCAGGGUUAUGUCCUUACCUUCGUUGUUAGAUCGGCAGGACUCUGUCGAGAUUUGCACAACCGAGGUAAUACCGGAUGAUUGGAGAACACCCAUUAUGCAGUACCUUGACAAUCCUAACGGGAAACAUAGUCGCAGGACACGGGUUCACGCCACGAACUAUGUCACGUACCAGAACGAGUUAUACCGAAAGGGUGAAGAUGGUUUGUUAUUGCUAUGCCUCGGCCCCCAAGAGAAUGCUCGGGCGAUCGCAGAGGUUCAUGAAGGGGUAUGCGGAGCUCAUCAAUCCGGACGGAAAAUGCGAUGGCUACUCCGACGACACGGCUAUUUUUGGCCGAGAAUACUGAAAGAUUGUAUCGAGUUUGCACGAGGAUGCGUACAGUGCCAAAUCCAUGGGCCUAUACAAAGGGUCCCGGCCGAGUCACUACAUUCGGUCAUUAAGCCAUGGCCGUUUAGAGGAUGGGCCAUGGACGUAAUCGGCAAAAUCACGUCGACUUCUGGAGCUGCUAAGCAUGCAUGGAUAAUAGUCGCAACUGAUUACUUUACUAAGUGGGUCGAAGCAAAAUCAUACGCCGAGUUAACAUCUAAAGACGUUUGCGACUUCGUGGAGGAACACAUUGUGACCCGGUUCGGUGUACCGAAAACGAUCAUAACCGACAAUGGAACAAUCUUCACAGCCGAAAGGUUUAAAGAAUACACGGCAAAUUUGAAAAUUCGGCUGGAACAGUCCACACCGUAUUAUCCACAGGCGAAUGGGCAGGCCGAGGCAAGUAAUAAAGUGUUGAUCGGCAUCCUCGAAAAAAUAAUAAAAGAAAGGCCUGGCAUGUGGCAUUUGAAGUUGAACGAGGCAUUAUGGGCAUACCGAACGUCGCCCCGGUAGGCGACUGCGACAACCCCAUACGCAUUAACCUACGGACACGAUGCAGUGCUACCAGUCGAGUUGAGCAUAAAUUCGUUGCGAUUAAUUGAACAAAGUAGUUUGUUUAGCGCCGAAUAUAAUCAGUCCAUGAGACAGGAACUAGAAGAUUUGGAAGAAGCGCGACUUGACGCUUAUAACUUAUUGGUGGCACAAAAACAGAUUGCCGAGCGGGCCUAUAAUCAAAAGGUACGACAGAAAACAUUCGGCGAGGGUGAAUUAGUGUGGCAAACGGUGUUGCCCGUAGGACUAAAAGAUCCUAGGUUCGGCAAGUGGUCGCCGAAUUGGGAAGGGCCGUUCAUUGUGCAUAAAGUAUACGGAAAAGGGGCGUAUCAUCUUAAAGACCGAACCGGUGUAGUUCACAGAUUACCGAUCAAUGGGAAGUUUUUGAAAAAGUAUUACCCGGUACGUGGGAAAUGCGAGAGUAAACAAAACCAUCUCAUUAAGAUUGAUGAGCAUGUACAAGCUAAGUAAGUCAUUCAGGAUAAAACUAAGUACAUUCAAGGGGAAGAAGGUAAGAGGGUGCUGAGAAGGGCCUUCAAUUCCAACCACCACACCUCGGCCAUGAUAACUUCAUCUUACCGAUUCUUCUUGUCCAGCUUCAACCGCUCGACCCGCUUUGUUGUUGCCGCGUACUCAGUUAGGCGAUCCUUUCCGCCCGACUCGAAGUCUCUAGCAAGCUCGGACGCGAUGGCCGACCGACGUUUUGCUAGUUCGGCCAUCUGACGGUCGAGCUCGGCUAGUACUUCUCCUUUUGGCCUUAGAGCGUCGAUUUUCAGACGGAGAGUAUCUUGAACGGCCGUGACAGCUUGCAGGUCCUGUUCGGCCUUUAGGGCGGUCUGGAAGACACUGAAUGUCUCCCGAACCCGCUCCAAAGCAGACGAUGCCCGAACGAUGGCAUUUCCGCUCAGGCGACCGUCUGCCCCAAGAUCGUUAAGACACACGCCAAGUAGAUCAAGACCGUUGCGCUCAAGUACUUGCGGCUGAAAGCGAUAGAACUUCUCACAGCUGGGUUAGAGCGGUUGGAUCGGCAGCCUCAGUCGGAGCAGCCGAAGGGCCGGACUCGGCAGUUGUGCUGGAGAGGAGGGCUUUGAAUUCGACCUCCCACGAAGCCUGCACAUACAAAUCAGUUUAGGCUUAAAGGAAGGCAGGGCGAGAAUAGUAAGAAGGUUUCGUUUUUUAACCUGCCGAGAGGAGACCUCGGCCAUGUCCCCAGGAUCGUUGCUCGAACCUAAAGAACUCAAUGGCCGAGCCCAGUGUCUCAGAUUGCUUCUUAGUUCACGCGGCCGAUGAAGGUUAUCUACGUUUGAUGGCCACUGAGGCGGCCAAGAAAUAUAGAUAACACCCUUCGGCGCAUAGAAUUGUCGGUGAAAAGAAUGUACAGGCACCUGACAUUUAUUAUUUUCCUCGUUUAGAAUUCUAAAGCAAAAAAAAGCAAUCAAGGAAAGAUGGUCGAAGGUACUUACGAAGGCCGAGGUAACCUCCUGUGGAGGAAUAUGGAAGCCCUGGUCUUGAGGAUGAACGGCCGAUUCCGCCGUUGCCUUGGGUUCCUCGAGCGGGCGUUUGCCACGGUCGGCUGCAGAUGGGCCGACCGGAACAGCCGUUUCGGAGGAGGCAGGGACAUCCUGGUCCUGGGAAAGAGCGAGGGGUUCGGCCACCGCCGUCGGUUCCUCGACCGGGCGCUUGCCACGAUCAGCCGUGGGGGGGCCGGCUUGAACCACCAUCUCGUACCUUGGGAGAGGUUGCCGACGAGAGUGAGGACGAUCUGCCAGCGGGACCUCAUCGCUCCCCUCACUCUCUUCCAGAAUGAAGACCGAGGGUUUUGGAUUCCAGGGGCUGUUCCCUCGGUCGCAGAAACCACCUUUUUUGGAACGGGUGUUUCCUCGACGGAGGGAGGCACAACUGGUGUACCAGUCCCAGAGAUAGGCUACGUUCAAACUGUCGCUGCGGCCGGGGCGGGCUAUUUCUCGACCGAGGGUUGAACAACGGCGGGAGAAGGGGAAACACUGGGAGUCGUCGCCCCUGUGGUUUGACUGGAGAUGACGUGGAUCUCCCGUGCGCCCUUCUUUGCCAGCUGUUUUACCCGCUUGGCAGGCGGUGGAGGUUCGACGACCGGCUCGGCCUCUUGGCGAGGGCGUUUGGUCAGCACAGCCCGACCAGCGGCCUUAUCCCUUUUAACCACGGCCGAUUUUUUCUCGACCAUGGCCGCGGCAACAGCCUCCGUUUUUCUCGAAGGCCGAUUACCUAAGAAGAUAAAAACAAUUCAGUAAGGCAAAUCAAUAUGCAAGGUUGAAGGAAAAGAGGAGAAAUGAACAAUUACCUUGAGUUUGUGGGGCCGAGGCCUUCUUAGGUCGGUCGCCGAAGAGUUUGUUCAGCACCUCUUCGACCGGAGCACCAAAGAACUCCUGGGUGUAAUUUUCCCACCACUCACCGAAGGUGUCAGUGCAAUGGGUUUCUGGGGUGGCCAGUCGAAGGCGGAAUUUUUGGCAGUACUCUUGGAACUCCCUCGCAGCAGUUUUACAUUCCUUCUCCGAGGAACGAGGUUCACGUCCACCGCUUAGGACUGUUCGGGAGGAGAGAAGGGGGACGGGGCAGCCCUGAAGAUAGCCGAGCUGCUGGGCAAGGAAGUUCGGAUGAUAUACUUCCCAACCCGACCGUUUCCCAUCGCAGCCGAGAGGGAGGUCGCGAGCAAGCACAAACGACCCACAGGUCUGACGAAGAUCGGCGUCAUCCUCCGCGCCCCACGUAGAGGUAGGCAGCCUGAUGGAGGAAGGAUAGUCUCGACGACGACAUAUCAGGAACUCGUCGUUGGAGAAGUCGUCGAGAGCGAAGAGGUACCGAAAUACCUCUUCGGCUUGAUGGGGAGGCGUCGGUCGAGAGGCCAGCUGAGGUCCAAGCGCCUCCGUUGGUGAGAAGUCAGCUAUGGCCGGCCGAAGGGAGGCGAAGUAAAUUUGUAACCAGAGUUGGAAGACCCAGAGGGGACCAUUCUGGUGUGGAUCGAUUUUGUGGAGGGUCGCAUCGGCCAGGCAGCGGAAGAGAUGGGCGAGAAUGUUGGAGCUCAGUGCCAGGACGUGACCACUGGCCAGGGCCUCGGCUACCGGCAUAUUCUCGACCAAGCAUUUGUUUGACUUGGUACAACAAAUGUACUUGUUGUACCAAUAGAAGAGGAAGGCUUCAUGCUCUCCCUCUCGCAGGUCCUCCUCUCCUCGGCCGGCGAAGUGAAGAUAGAGAGUAUUGUAAUUAAAGAAGUUCUUAUAGAGCUUCUGGAUGUCUUCUUUCGACGGGAUUUGACCGUCACGGUUCAAGGCCUCGAAGGCUCGUCGAUCAAAAAGCGUCUUCAGAUCAAUAUUCGACGGGUGCCCAGAGAGGGCCGCGUCGAUGGGGAUCCCGGUUGCCGAAGUCCCCAGAAUGGCGGUGACAUCAAGGAUGGUGGGACCGAUGGGACCAAGAGGAAGAACCAGGGUGUUGGUGGCCGAGCACCAGAAGCACAAGGCGGCUAAGAGAAGCUCCUUGUCGAGAACGACAUCCAUUGACGAAAGGAGGAUGGCGUCGUAGAUACCGAGGGCUUUCCAUUGCUCACCGAAGAGCCGUUCUAUUCGAACAACCCAGGCUGCCCAGGAUGUGGUCGUCGAGGGCCAGGAGCCUUGGGGUUUCGCCGCAUCCCAUCUCGACCAUUCAAACCCUUGUAGCAAGGGUGUUAGGCAGUGCUCCUGGAGAAGACCAGUAAUGGUCGGCGAUAUUGUAGCCUUGAAGAGAGAACCCAAGAUUUGGUGGACGGUGCUCAUGUCAUUUUCAAACCGUAUAGUCUUGAUCGAGCUCCGAUCAAGAAUCUUCUGAUGCUGGUCACAUUCCCUGGAAAGCUUGGAGAUGAAGGACGCCAUUGUAAGAAGGAAGCACGGCGUAAAAGGGUUUUCUGGGUUGGGGGAUUUGAAGACGAAGACCUGGAAAAAGAAAUGUGCUGGAGAAUAAGAGCAAGAGUUUUCAGAAAGUUUUGGGAGCGUAAAGUGCGAAUGAGAGAGUUUCAGUAUUUAUAGGCUUUUGGCAGGAAGGGUAAUCGUUUGAAAUUCAAAACAAAGGGCAAAAUCGACCGAGAGAAUCGUUGAUCAUGAUGAACAUUUGGGAAAUGCAGUUGAAAAGACCGAAGGUUUCAGAUGUUGGGGGCACACGAUUGCGUAUGACGGCGAAAUUAAUGGCGGAAGAUGUUUCGACGCCUGCACGAUGACAUGUGGGCUCACGACUUGAGGAAGUGGCUCGCGGAUUGAGAUAAUGGUCAUAAUGGCAAGACGGUUCAGGCAGGCACACGCCUUGGACGUCAUUAUUGGGAUUGGUCGUGUUAGAGGACGCCACAUGGCGAGUUCGGUUAAUAGGAUCAAGAUCGUGCAAUCAUGUUCAAUAAAUGCGCCUUGGAACUCGGGCAUUAGGGUUCUGAGUGGUAGAUUUGCUUCUUCAAGGCCGAAACUCGGCCAAAGAAUUCAGGCCGAGGACCUCAGAAGCGAGGGGGCAAUGUUUGGGCCCAAAAUAACAGUUUGGGCCGAGUGUAGGGUCAUUCUCGGCCCGGGAGGCCUUGCGACAAGAAUACCAUGGAUCGUUCAGUACGUGGGCCUCCAAACCUAGGUCGGCUAGGUCAUAACGCAAGAGGUCGAAUCCUAGUGCAAUAAGGAGUCUCGGCAGGACCCGGAAACGAAUCCGGCUCAGGUAAAGGACUAGGUUCACAGUCCUAGUGAAGGUAGGACUGGUCGAGUUGAUGCUGAUCAGGGGAAGAAAACCUAGUUCGAGUAGGUUUUUAACUCGACCUUGGGGGGAGCCAUUGCUAUAAAUAGAAGAGGUUGCACAUCAUUCAAACCCCUGCAAAUCAAUACAAAAUUGCCCUGCGCAAACUCUCACAACUUGUGAUUUUUCUUUUUUCCUUUUUCGCUGACACAUCUUCCGUUGGCAUCAACAGCACUGUGGAAGCAACCGGUGAUAUCUUAAGUCGGCAUAGAUAGCUCUGUCACCGUAGAAUCGAUCGGUCUUGCAGUAUCUUGCAUUGGCAUCAACAGCACUGCGGCGAGAACGGUUGAUUACCUAUCCAAGUCUCGGUCGAGAAGGGUUUCUGAACCCUUAUUGGUCGAGGUCAUCUCAUCAGCCUUCUCGGCGAAGUGAGGUGUUACAGUUAUUACAUUCGGCACAUUGAAAGCCGAAUUUGAUAUUGAACUUCGUAAGAAUAGUAACCUUGUCUUCAGGUUCGAGAGCCCAAGAGGCCGAGACGUGUUCCUUUCUCGGCCGCAAUCGCAAGACGCAGAAGUCAGUAGCGCGACCCAACGCAACAUCAACAAAUUUACUCCUCGGCCGACGAGUUGGCACGCCCCGCAUUCACCGAAGGACGUAGUUAGCUCAUUAAUUACUCGACUUGCGCGCCACGUAGGCUUUGUAGUUUCUAGGGUCAACAGUCCCACAAGUAGAAAUUGAAACAUCCUCGUCGACUGCAAUCCCCAGCUUCUCCUUCAUGUUAGUACUCUUGAAAUAUUUCUUGUAAGUACUGAAUAUUUCAGCCUUGGACGUUGUGUGUGUGGCAUUAGUAACACUAGAAACCUCUGGGCUUACUGUGCUUUUGCUAAUAGGUACGACGAGCAACCCAUCUUUUCCGUCUAAAAAGUAGAAUCCUAGUUUGCGAGUCCUAUAAGCAUUACAUUCUAUUGUACUUAUCAUGGCUCGAGUACUACGAAUGUUGACUUGCACCCACUUAUUGUGGCUCCACGACGAAGUACAUUCACCCAGACGGUCUGCUAUCAUUGACAGAAGUUCAGGAGGAAGAUCGGACCACGAUUGCAUUCGCAUUUUUUUUUCCAUAGACAUUUUGCCACAACGAUACCUGCUAGAUGUAGAAAUUAUAAUCUUGAUAAUUCUUUUCAUACAAGCGUGUAUACUUGACAUUCAAGUAAGGAUCUCCACAAAUAACGAAUACAAUCGGAAUCAGAUUACAAUAUUAAUUCCUAAGCCAUGAUAUUCUUUCCAUAGACAAGACUCCAUCUCUAACACUAGAGGCAUGGAGAUAUAGAUGCUACUUAAUUACGACAAAAAUAUGCAGUAAUUACCACAAGGGUAAUAUGCAGUAAAUAAAAAUAUGCAGAGUUUUGGUGAGAAUUGAAGGGCUGAUCAGCUUUGUUUUUAUUUUCUUCCACAAUAAGUUGAACUCAAGAUUGAUUGAGCUUGCAGUGGAAAUAUUGGAUUUAAAGAUCAUAUUCAUAUGCAUGAUAAAUUUAAGGAAAAACGAGAACACAUGAAAUUAAUUAAACCUAACAAGAACAAAUUAAAUGUUUCAGAACUUAACGAAAAUGAUAAUAAAAGUCCAAGAGUACGAAUACAAAAACAAAAGAGAAAAUUAAGGAGACGUACUUUGAGAUUUAUCCAAGGAAACCCCGACCCUCUCCAAAACAAUAGUCACUGGAAGGAUUUCUGCAGAGACAUUGUGUGUGUACAUAUAUAUUACUGCUCACAUAUCUAUUUACAAAAAGAGUUCUAGUUUCACUGGUUUAACAACGGAUGCGCUUGAUGAUAAAUAAAUUCAUUAAUAAAUACUUGUAGAUUAAUUAAAACGAAAUAGUUAUCAAAUAAAAUAAAAAGUACCCAAGUAAGCCGAAUUUUUCAGGGGUACUUUCGUCAUUUCAUUUUACUUUACUUUGUCAUGAAUCAGAACCUGUAGUAUAUUAUUGCGCGUUCAUUGCUCUGAUUAAUUAUAUGUGAAGUAAGAAAGGGAUCGUGAUUGUAUACAAACUGUUUUCAAAUAGAGGAUACUUCAAUUGGGAUUAUAUUCCUAGGAUUUGUGAUUAACAUACUUAAGGAAAAAUUUGGCGGGAAAAUGUUGCAUAAACUUGGGAUUUUAUGGAAGUCUACUGUAGUGCUGUGAUUUUUUGCAGUAUUUUGGAGAGUUUACUAGACUUUGCUGCUCAAGAAUUGUUGGAAAUAUGCCUACUUGAAAUGAGUAAUGCUUAUUUGUUGAAAGAAGAGUAGCAAGUGCUGCUGAAAUGAAUAAGUGCCAAAUCACAAACGAGCAUGUGCCCAAACAAUUGAAGAACAAACAUCACCCCAACUGACUGGACCUCCCCCCUCUUCCGACUUUGCAGCUCAAGAAUUGUUGGAAAUAUGCCUAUUUGAAAUGAGUAAUGCUUGUUUGUUGAAAAAAAAGAGUAGCAAGUGCUGCUGAAAUGAAUAAGUGCCAAAUCACAAACGAGCAUGUGCCCAAACAAUUGAAGAACAAACAUCACCCCAACUGACUGGACCCCCCUCCCCCCAAAACAAAAAAAAACACACAAUCUCCCACCACAAUAAUGCUCUUCUUUGACAUCUCCUCACCUUUCGUAAUUUGGAUACCUUAGAGAUCGAGCUAUGGUUCUUGGCUGAUACGUUUGAUAUCUCCUCACCUUUCAGUCAUACUUGCUCCUCUUCUUUUAGCAGCCAAGCAUUAUUCAUUUCAAAUUCCUGAAUAACUGAUAACAGAAGAAACAACGUACAAGAAAGCAUGCAAAGGAUAGGAGACAUGAAAAUAUUACAUUGCCUUCUUCCAUUCAAUAUUUACAUACUGUAGACAGAAUACCUCACUGAUGAUGAUCCACAAGCUUUAUGGCUCACUGUGAAGAAGGUUUUGAUCAUCAAAGAGAUAUCUUUUUGCUUGAAGCAAGACACAACUUGCAGCAUUUACACUUAAGGAAUUUUAAGUUUGUGAAUAAUACAAUUAUGAAGACCUAAUUAAAUUUCCAUGCAUCAAUAUAGUACCCCUAUUAGGAAUAGGAAGGGCAUCUUCAUUACCAAGAAUGACAUAAGUAUUACUAGUAUAUGGGUGAUGAUCCUGAAGAGCAACACCAUUGUUAGUCAUGUGAUGGGGGCACCAAUGUCAUGCAACUAUUUGAAUCCAAACUAUAGCAUGGAACAUGAAACCCAGUGAAAGUAGCAGUAGGACAAUGAGCGUAAGCCAUGACAUGAUGAUGGGUUGGGUGGAUGACCCCAAAAGGAGCGACUGCGACCACCAUAACCACGACCACAACCAAAGCUACCACGACCACCAUGGCAGAAAGAAUAAGGGGGUCAAUUGGUGCGUGGAGGAGGGUGAUUGGUACAAUAGGCUUGGUACGAAACAUGAGCAUGGGUCGGGACACUAGGUGCACGAAAACCCACGACUUGGUGGACAUGAGUAGUCGGGGCAUACAGAUUGGGCUGUUGUUGCUGAACGAAGAAUGCUUGAGCAUCAGGGGCAUAUGGCUAUUUCUGGGCUUCAAAAAGCAGAAGUCGAUAGCGCAAGUCAGUAAAGGAAGGCAAGGGAAAAAAUUAAGCAUUGAGAGCGCAAGUCAGUAAAGGAGGGUAAGGGAAAAAAUUGAGCAUUGUUGUGGUGAACAUGGAAUAGUCGUUGUGGAGCCAAAAAUAAUCAAGAAAAUUAUGGAGGUGACAUGUGGACUUUUGGGUAAAAAUGAUAAAAUUACCCUCGAGGCACACUGGGAUGCUUACGCUCAUGCAACGGACAAUAACGGCUCAAUCAAGGAAGACUCAAAGGUGAUCAAAAUGGUAUUUAUUCAAAUCCCUCUCAUCACUCCUCAUCAAAUCCUUAUUCAAAAGGUAACUCCCAAUUUUCCUAAUCAAUUUAGGUUUAAUUGCCAAGGUAAUUGCAAGAUAUUUUUUCAUGUAAUAUCUUACCAUUAUACUCACAAUUUAACCAUAUAUGGUCGGUCCCUAUUCUCCAAAUAGGGCCGCUCACUCCCCUAUAAAUAGUCAUAUUCUCCCACUAAAAAGCCAAGCCAUUUUGCUACCUACAAACUCCUAAACACAUUCUUUUGCAUAAUUCUAACUUUGACAUCGGAGAUUUUUCAGCCAAAGCAUCCCCAUUCAUCGUGGGCGCGUGAGGCUUUUGGCCUUAAUCUUAGGUGUUAUUAUUUUGCAAGUGCAUUUUUGUCAAAGGAGAAGACGGUAGAAAUUUGCAUCCAGAAAUUGGUGCUUUUAAAUUGGUGCUUUUAUUAAGAGUCUUGAUUCACAUGCUCGAAGAAGACUCUAGCAUUCAAAGUUUCUCAUUCCUUGUUCAUUUAUAGAUUUUUCAUACGUUUUUAUUCCAAGAUUUUUUUUAUAAAGUUCUUUAAAUAAACGUAAAAGAAAAAUACAAUGACUAGAAAUUCGGAAACCACGAUUAACGGAACUUCCUAUGUUCAAGGAUUUGGACCAAGUGAUAGAGAUCAAGGCAUAGCCUCACCACGAUGAUCCAUGAAGCUCAAUUCGACGAUGAGUGGAGCGGCAUCACCCAUACAGGGCUAUGCCAACAUUAGCCACCACUGUGGCAACUCAUGGCGAGACCAAGCCCACGGUGAAGGCAUCACCUUGCAGCUGCAAGCCCAGGUCCAUGCUACCUUGCAGCAGCGAGCCUAGGGCCCUGACACAAGGAAGCCCAGCACGGCCCAACGCAAGCAGGCCCAAGAUGCAGCCGCAGCGGCCUAAGACUCGCAGGUUAAGGAUGCCAAGCAGGCCCAAGCUGCGUCGAGAGGAGCCCAGCGCCUAUGCGCUUCAGUUGCCUAACCCUUGCCCACUUGCUGCUGUCUAACUCGAAGUUUGGCCCACUUUCGUGGCCCUCUUAGCAGCCCAAACUGGUCCAGUACGAUCGGUUCAACCUUUCCGGCUUCAGAUUUCUAGACCGACAAUUGAACCGAGGGUAUUUUCACCUUAUUUCUCUACAAAUUUGACAUAACCAAAUCUCACGCUCGGAGUUUAUUAUCAUUGUAUUACUCAAAGAUCAUACCGUCCAAGCUCUUCCAACGCAAAUGGCGAACAACAUUUGUCCCGACAAGUCAUAGAGUUGACAAACGCCCUCGCACAUCAGACGACCUUGAUGAAUCAACUCUUACAGCAUACCAAGAUGCAGCAUGCCCCAGAAGAAGUGUCCCAAAGUAGGACAAGGGCAGAUGACAAACCUCUCUAGCAACGUCCCUGCAAGCAGCCCUUCAACAAGUACACUCCCGAUUGGGCCCCCGAGAUAGUGUAUACUUUCGUCUUAACGCACAAAGGAGAAUGCAUUCUUGGUUAGGCCCACAGACGAGCAUACAUUCAUGGUUGGGUCCACACUUCGAUAAUCAACAUGAGCAACCUUCCAGGUGAAGUGUUCAUUUACGGCGAGGCCCUCAAGGAGUAUCCUUCACCUCACAUUGGAGUAGCCAGCUCAACAGACGAAGAUAAGCAGUCAUUCAAUCCAGCUCAAGUGUAAUUAGCAGCCUGCGAGAAAUUCGUUCGCCUGCUAGGACCAUAAGCAUCGCAGCCGUGGUAUAGACGAGCCGAACACAUGAAAGAGCAGCCUAGACCAGUAGGUUAAGACCGGGGGCAGCCGAGAGCUCCGCUACCCCCAACAAAGGUAAAUUUAGGAAGAAGUAAAUAGGUUCCUGACCGAGCGAUUGCGUGAUUUCCAACACAACGAGAUCACUGAUGAGGCACUACGACGAGACAUGACCAACAUAAGCAUGUUACCUUUCACGGAUGAGAUCGAGCAGGCAAAGCCUCAACGUAAAUUCAGCAAGCCAUAUUUCACAUCUUUCAAAGGGGAUGGAGACCCGAAGAGACACUUGAAGCACUACCGAAGCACAAUGAUCCUCUAUCAAAAUAAUGACGCUCUCAUAUGCAAGAUAUUCGCCACCACUUUACAAGGUGAGAUGCAAGAUUGGUUCUACACCCUACCGUCAUAAUCCAUCUGGAGUUUUGAUGAACUUUCUUUGGUUUUCACCAAGGAAUAUUCAUCUUACCAUUCGAUCAAGAAAAAGUCCGAGUAUUUGUUCAACAUCAAGAAGAACCAAAAAGAGUCGUUUCGCGACUAUGUGAAGAGGUUCAAAGUAGAGAAGACAAAGAUAGUCGGAUGCAAUCAAAGAAGAUCUAACUCUAGCAGACCACCUACUAUUCGGAUAACUCAUCAUGAAAGAAGAUUUAACUCUGACAAACUAUUUCGCUCUAGCAGAAAAUCAUGCAUUUUAAGACGAGGCUCGGUGAGCAGACAAGGUACCCAAGUAGCCUCGAAGAGAAUAGGUAGUAACUCAAAAGAAGGAAGACAAGAAUAAGUACAACAAAAAAAGCAGGUAGGAGGCCAAGCACAAUGACCUAUCCCCAACAAAAAGAGGCAUAGUGCCCAAGAACCACUUGAAGUUCUUGAUCAUGAUCCACCAAAUCCUCCACAACAUCAAGAGCGAACUAUGGUUCAAGCUGUUAAACAAUCAAAGGGAGACACCUUCAAGUUUGACCACACUAAGUACUGCACAUUCCAUCGAGGUCCCGGUCACACAACUAACGAUUGUUACAAUUGGAGGAACUACCUAGAGAAGCUGGUGAAACAAGACAAGGUCGACAUAUACUUUGACAAGCUAAAUAUGCAUCCUAAAAGAAAUACUGACGCCGUCAAAAAGCUGCCGACCAAGAUGAUCCGAAUCAAUGGCAUUUUAGCUAAUCCAAGCACUUAGGGGCCAUCAACAACUCCAAGAAAAGGAAGAUCCAGCAGGCUUUACUAGUCUAACGGGUCUAGGCAGUUAAUACACAACCUGGACCCAUCGUUGACUUCACCGAGUAGGAUGCUGAAGGCGUUGACUUCCCACAUGGUGACCCACUAAUGGUAUCUGUCAAACUAGCCCACGCUAUAGUCGUUUGAAUGAAGGUUGAUAACGGAAGUUCGGUCAACCUAGUUUAGUUCUUAGUAAUUCAGAAGAUGGGCCUGGAAAACACAAUUAUACACAAAGCGAAGGUACUCAUCGGAUUCAACGGACACACCUCAAUUGCCAUCGGCAACAUUACACUUAACGUGAUAACACCACCAGUUGUCUCAAAGCCAAUGUUCAUGAUAGUAAGUGACAUGUCUCCAUAUAAUGGGAUUCUAAGGCAACAUUAGCUGAUAAAGCUGGAUGACAUAACUUCUAUAAAAAAAUCUGAUUCCGCAUCUCGGGAGAAUGAGUUGGAGAAAUCAAGUCUGACUAGGCCACAUCUCAAGAUGCAAUGUGCUAGUAUUGAAGGAGUAAAAAAAAGAAGACAUUUACCCCCGUGGAGGCUCCCGAGGUCUAAAGGGACAAUGAAGUUACCAAAUAGCAAUUACAGUAGACGGAUCAAGAAAAUGAUGUCCAAGUAAAUGUGCCAGUAGACGAGGUUGGAUGGAAACCUGAAGAUGAUGCCGAGCACAUCAUCCUUGAUCCACAGCAGUCAGAGAAUACUGCUAGAAUCGGCUCACGUCUGAGCCCGAAAGAAAAAGAGGAACGUACAGCUUUCUUUAGGGAAAAUUGUGACGUCUUUGCAUGGUCACCUUUCGACAUGCUCGGCAUCGACCCCGAGAUUGCUUACCAUAAGCUGCACAUCGACCUCGCUGCCAAACCAGUGAUCCAAAAGAGAAGACAUUUCGCACCUGAACAAGUGGCAAUCAUCGAAGUAGAAAUCAAUAAUCUAUUAGAGGCCAAAUUCAUGGAAGAGGUAGUACACUCAACAUGACUUGCCAACGUCAUGCUAGUAAUGAAGAAAUAGAAGGGCAAAUAGAGGGUUUGCGUAGACUACACUGACCUUAACAAAGCAUGCUCGAAUGAUCCUUAUCCAGUUCCCCGACUUGAUCUACUAGUAAAUUCAACUUUCAGAAACCAGCUACUUAGUUUCUUUGAUGCAUACUCUGGCUAUAACCAAAUAGCCAUCCAUGAGCCCGAUAAAAAGAAAAUCGCGUUCGUGAUCGAGCAAGGCACCUACUGCUACAAGGUCAUGCCUUUUGGCAUCAAGAAUGCUGAGCCACUUACCAACGAUGGGUAAACAUGAUGUUUAGGAAGUAAAUUGGAGUAACUAUAGAGAUCAUAGUGAAGGGCAAGCAGAAAUCAGACCACAUCAGUAACUUGGCGAAAACUUUCGACAUCCUUAGAAAGUACAAGAUGAAGCUCAGUCCUGCCAAAUGCAUAUUUGAAGUAUCUUUAGGCAGAUUCUUAGGAUAACUAGUAACUUAACAAGGAAUCGAAGCACAUCCUAAGCAAAUCGAAACAAUCCUAGAGAUGAAGUCUUCAACUUCCUGGAAAGAGAUCCAAACCUUGACUAGACAAGUUGCUGCACUCAACCAUUUCUUCUCGCAGUCUACUGAUUGAUGCAAGCUUUUUUUUCAAAACAUUCAAGAGGGCACAACGAGACAAAUGAGAUGAUGAAUGCGAAAGAGCUUUCCAAGACCUGUAGAAGUAUCUCACAUCACCUCUUUUACUAUCCAAGCCGAAAGCAGCGAAAAACUUAUACAUCUACUUGGCAAUCUUGGAAGUAGCUGUGAGCUCUAUCCUCAUACGAAAAGAGCUGGAGGCCCAACUAACGGUAUUCUACACUUCUAAAGCUCUUUUUAAUGCGAAAACUAGAUAUCCAAAGAUCGAGAAAUUAAUUUUAAUGCUAGCUGUUGUGGCUCGGAAGAUCAGACCAUAUUUUCAAGCUCAUACAGUCAUCGUCAUGACUCAGUAUCCUCUAUGAUGAAACCUACAUGGUCCAAACGCUUCUUAACGAGUAAUAAAAUGGGUGUUGGAACUUGGCCAAUACAUCUUAGUUUUCUGACCUCGCACGAUGAUAAAGGCCUAAGCCUUAUCAGACUUAACAGAGCGACCCAACGACACCCCGAAGGCAACUGAGAACACCCUAGCCACGCCUGCUUCACCCGAUGGAGACGUCUGGCAUUUGCACAUUAACAUCACAUCUAACUAUAAAGGGUCGGGAGCAAGCAUGGUCCUUGUCACCCCUAGACGGUUUGAUGCUCAAGCAUGCAAUCACUCUAGGCUUCAAAUCAUCCAACAACGAAUCAGAGUACUAAGCCCUACUUACAGGUCUCAGAAUGGUAAAAGAGCAGUGAAAAAGCUUGCAAUUCAUUCUUAUUCCUAGCCAAUCAAUAGCUAGACUAUUGGGGGUAAACGACAAAACAACUAAAGAUGACGCAAUACCUAAAUAAGGUAUAAAAGAAACUUAUGGGUUUCAGACUUACACCUUCACUCAAGUUCCGUGAGUAGACAACGCCUACACGGACACGCUAGCCGGUCUAGGCUUCGCCCUCGACCAUCAACUCAAACGCUCUAUUUCAGCGGAAUAUCUAGAUAAGCCAAGCAUAUAGGCAAAACCAGCAGUCAAGGUGUCAUAAGUUAGUACAACUCUAAACCAGCUAGAUUCCCUUAUAGACUACAUUCUUUAUUGAAAGAUUAAAGUAUAGAAAGAUUGGAAGAUUAAAGUCUAGAAAGCUCCAAACAAAGGCAGCAUUUAUUACAUGUGGAACGGCAUUCUCAUCCAAGUAUCAUACACUGGCCCACAUCUUUGCUGCCUAGCGUAUCCUGACGACCUAAGGUUCUAAGUUUAAUCCACGAAUGCAUUUGUGGAAAUCACUCCAGAGGUUGAUCUUUAGCACAUAAGGUUUUUAACGAGUACAAAAGUGCUACUGCAGCCAAGGCUACAAGCCUAUACCAGUACUGUCUACUAGCAAACUAUACCCGCAGAUAAGUCCUUAGCUGUUUAUGCAAUAGGCAAUCGACUUGGUAGGGCCAAUGCCGUUUGCUACUGGGGGGUAGAGGCAUGAUGAUCGUGGCAACUAACUACUUCACUAAGUGGGCAGAAGUAGAGCCCAUGAAAACCACAACUUAGACGUACAUAGAGUGUUUCAUAUAGAGAAACAUCAUUUGCUGAUUUGGCAACCCUCAAUCUAUCGUCACAAACAACGAUCUGCAAUUCAUAGGCAAAGAUCUGACAAUGUUCUUCAAAAAAUAUGACAUCAAGCAGCACAUGUCCACACCAAGGUAUCCCCAAAGGUAAUGGGCAAGCCAAAGCAUCCAAUAAGACGAUUCUCGACUACCUCAAGAAAUCCCUCUCUGACAAGAAGGAAAAAUGGCCAGAGGAAUUUUCCGGAUGUCUAUUGGCGUAUCUCACAACCAAACAAUGAGCAACCGGUGAGACUCAUUUCUCUUUGGCAUUAGGUUCAGAAGCAAUCAUUCCUCCUAAUGUCAUCGUGCCAAGUAUCAGCACUCUACUGCCAAGCAUCGAGCAAAACAGAAAGAAGAUGGCCACAAACUUAGAUCUGGUAGAUAAAAAACACGAGAAGGUCAUCACCCACAUCGCAGCCUACUAGUAGCAGCUUUUCUUUAGCUACAACAAAAGGGCUAAGAUAUGGCAGAAAAGGCUCCAAAAAGAUGGAUCUCAUCUAGCAAGGUCCGUACAAGAUCAGCAGAGUAUGCAGCAAGGGUAGCUACACCCUUACCACAUUGAACGACAAAGAGAUCGAAAAACUAUGGAACACCUACAAUCUGAGGAAGUACCAUGCGUGACCUUCUUCUACAUUAAAGCCUGAAAACUUAAGUAGCUCGACGGGCACUACUUCGCAAGCCAAGGAUUAUCCAAUUGUUAUGCAGUUCCUCCCUUACAACUUUUUGUUCGUUUCACUCGUUUUUCAAUGAGGAAUUCAUAAGUAAUUUUCAACUUGGCUCGGCUGCAUGCUUAUAAUAACUAUUCACUCAUACACUUCUAAAAAAGACUGCCCCUUCUUAGAGACUUAUCGUAAGAAUUGCACCCACCUGGGGACCAACCAUUCUCUCCAAUGUGAGAGGAUAAACCAAUUCCCCGACACCUACAUGGGUUUGCUCUCCGAUGUGGGAGGAUAAACUAUACACUCCGAAUAUUUAGACGUGGAUGAGUCGGGCUGCCUUGGUAUAAUUAGGUGUGUGAUGGCUUGUGCCGGGAUUCCUAGAGUAGCCACAAUGGUCCAUUUCAAGGCUUAGCUAACUGAAGGAUUUUGGUCUCUUAGCCUAAUCCGUGAGGAACCGGGCCUCAGGGACGGAAGAGGCACAUUACGCAGUACGCCAUAUAGACGACUGCCAUGGAACCCUAAAGCUACUACCUAGUGCACUAGACUACUAUUUCCAAAAGACUGCCUAUGGCUUACCCUUCAAGCAGUAAGCCGUGCUAAACUUAUACAGUCGCACAUUUUUGUGAAAGGUUCAACAGUUAGCGUGCAUAUACGAAGCUCUAUCCACUACCGACAUGUUACACAAUUAAUAAGUUUCACCACUGCCAAGCACAGAAUGAUCAUUUAGAUCUACACUAAUUCCUAAAGUGUUGUGAUACUUGCUAUGCAACCCAUGGAAUUGGUUACGUAAGGAGCAAGAAGUUCUCUUAGACCUUUGCUUACGAAAUUCCAUACAACCGCAUACUUUUGAUACGAAAAGUUAGCGAAUUUCGUGACCCGAAAAUCUUUAGUAUGUUGUGAUGCAUGCCACACAGCUCAAAGGAUUAAAGAAAGCCAAGGUUAAUAGCCAAGUGGUCAUGCAUACUCGUAUAUUUCUGUACGCAAGGCAUUCGGCUGCCGACCCUAUGGCUAACAACUUUGCAACAGUUUUACACCAACACCUAUGGAUGCAUAGCCUACGUGGCUUGUCUGCUUAUAGAAAAGCAACACGCAUGCCGCUGGUCUAAAGGUCAAAAGUUGUGUGUAAACAAAAGAAGCAAAGAUGAAGAAAAGCGAAUGAAGUAAGUUUAUUAAAUUUUCUAGCAAAAUUGAUAAACAAAUAACAAAUGCCGAAUGAGUUCAAGCAAAGCAAAAAAGCAACAAAGAAAGUAAAGAAAAUCCUAAAGGCUACCUAGAAGACUACUCUUCAGUAGCUUGGACAUCUCACUACUACUCGGUCGCUGCACCUUCAGCAGCUUGACGCUCUUAACAGCGGCAUCAUCCAGCACUUCACCACCGACUACCUUAGCUUGGCCACCAACUUUUCCGACUACUUCACGAAUGAAAGCCUAAAAAAUAUAGGCAAGCAAGUAUUCCGGAGAAACAAAGAAAAGAUUUACGUAACCCAACUUGUAGAAAUCGGCCUAACUCUGAACAAAGCAUGCUCGAAGGAUCCUUAUCCAGUUCCUCGAAUCGAUCUACUAGUAGAUUCAACUUUCAGGAACCAGCUGCUAAGUUUCUUUGAUGCAUACUCCGGUUACAACCAAAUAGCCAUGCACGAGAUCGAUAAAAAAAAUCCAUAUUCGUGAUCGAGCAAGGCACCUACAACUACAAGGUUAUGCCUUUUGGCUUCAGGAAUGUGGGAGCCACUUACCAACAAUGGGUAAACAUGAUGUUUAAGAAGCAAAUUGGAGUAACCAUGGAGGUCUACGUCUACGACAUCAUGGUGAAGGACAAGCAGCGAUCAGACCACAUCGGCAACUUGGCAAAAACUUUCGACAUCCUUAGAAAGUACAAGAUGAAGCUCAAUCCUGCCCAAUGCAUAUUCGGAGUAUCUUCAAGUAGAUUCUUAGGUUACCUAGUAACCCAACAAAGAAUCGAAGCACAUCCUAAGAAAAUCCGAGCAAUCCUAAAGAUGAAGUCUCCAACUUCCUUGAAGGAGAUCCAAAGCUUGACCAAACGAGCAGCUGGACUUAACCGCUUCCUCUCGCAGUCUACUGAUUGAUGCAAUCCUUUUUUCAAAGCAAUCAAGAGGGCAUAACAAGAUAAAUGGGAUGAUGAUUGCGAAAGAACUUUCCAAAACCUGAAAAAGUAUCUCACAUCACCUUCCUUACUCUCUAAGCCGAAAGCAGCGGAGGAUUUAUACAUCUACUUGGCAAUCUUGAAAGUAACGGUGAGCUCUACCCUCAUACGAAAAGAGCUUGGGGCCCAACUGUUAGUAUUCUACACUUCUAAAGCUCUUUUCAAUACAGAAACUAGAUAUUUGAAGAUCAAGAAAUUAAUUUUAGAUUCAGUUGUUGCGGCUCGGAAGCUUAGACCAUAUUUUCAAGCUCAUAUAGUCAUUGUCGUGACUCAGUAUCCUUUACGCUCAAUCCUAUAUAGUCCAGAUGCGUCUCAACGAGUAAUGAAAUGGGUGUUGGAACUUGGCCAAUACGAAUUAAUUUUCCGACCCCACACGGCAAUAAAGGCCCAAGCCUUGGCAAACUUCAUAACAUAAUUCACGCCUAGCCUAAACAAUGCAACAGAGUGACCCAACGACGCCCUGAAGGAAACCAAGCACGCCCUAGCCAUGUUUCCUUCACCUGAUGGAGACUUCUGGCAUUUGCAUGCCAAUAGUGCAUCUAACUAUAAAGGGUCGGGAGCAGGCGGGGUCCUUGGGGUGACGAUUCGAUGCUCUAACAAGCAAUCACUCUAGGAUUCAAAGCAUCCAACAACGAAGCAGAGUACGAAGCCCUACUAGCAAGUUAGAAUGGCAAAAGACUUGGCAAUGAAAAAGCUUGCAAUUCAUUCUGAUUCCCAGCUAAUCACCAGCCAGACUACUGGGGAGUACACAACAAAAUAUCUGAAGAUGGCAUGAUACCUAGAGAAUUUAUGAAAGCAACUUGAGGCAUUUCAAACUUACACCCUCACUCAAGUUCCGUAAGCAGACAACGCCCACACAGACACGCUAGCCGGCUUAGGCUCUAUCUUCAACCAUCAACUUAAACGCUAUAUUCUACUGGAAUAUCUAAACAAGCCAAGCAUAAAGGUAGAGCCAGCAGCCGGGGUGUCACAGGUUAGUACAACUCUAAACUGGCAAGAUUCCUUUAUAACUACCUUGUCAAUGGCAUACUCUAUAUGGAAAGAUUAGAGUCUAGAAAGCUCCAAACAAAAAUAGCACUUACUACAUGUGGAACGACAUUCUCGUCUGAAUAUCCUACAUUGGACCACAUCUCUGCUGCCUAGUGUGACCCAAAGACCUAAAGGUUCUAAGUUUAAUCCACGAAUGCGUUUGUGGAAUAACUCAGGAGGUUGAUCCUUAGCACAGAAGGCUCUUAACGCAGGCUGCUACUGGCCUACUAUGCAUCAACACACUAAGGAGUUAGUAUAAAAGUGCGACCGCUACCAACGCUACAAGUCAGUACCAGCACUGCUUGCCAACGAACUACACUCGCAAACGAGUCAUUGGCUAUUCAUGCAAUGAAAAAUCAACUUGGUAGGGUUAAUGCCACCCGCUACUAGGGGCAGAUGCAUGAUGAUCGUGGCAAUUGACUACUUCACUAAGUGGGUGGAAGUCGAGCCCAUGAAAACCACAAUUCAAACGAACAUAUAGCGUUUCAUAUAAAGGAACAUCAUUUGUCGAUUUGGCAUCCCUCAAUCCAUCGUCACAAACAACGGCUUGCAAUUCGUAGGCAAAGAUCUGGAUAUGUUCAUCAAGCAGCACAUGUCCAUUCCAAGGUAUCCCCAAGGCAAUGGGCAAGCCAAAGCGUCCAACAAGAUGAUUCUUGACUGUCUCAAGAAAUCCCUCUCUGACAAGAAGGGAAAGUGGCCAAAUGAACAUUCUGGAUGUCUAUGGGCAUAACGCAUAACCAAAUGAUGAGCAAUCGGUGAGACUCCUUUCUCUUUGGCAUUUGGUUCAGAAGCAGUCAUUCAUCCCAAUGUCAUCAUGCUAAGUAUCAGCACUCUAUUGCCAAACAUCGAGCAAAACAGAAAGAAGAUGGCCACAAACUUAAAUCUGGUAGAGGAGAAACACAAGAAGGUCAUCAUUCGCAUCGUAGCUUAGCAGCAGUAAUUCCUCUCUAGCCAUAACAAAACGUCCAAGAUCAAGCAAUUCCAACCUAGAGAUCUAGUCCUAUGAAAAACCUUCAUCACUACCCAUAGAGAAGGCUCUAAAAAGAUGGAUCUCAUCUGAAAAUAUCCAUACAAGAUCAGCAAAGUAUGCAGCAAGGGUAGCUACACCUUUGCCAUCAGGAAUGACAAAGAGAUCGAAAAACAGCGGAACACCUACAAUUUGAGGAAGUACCAUGCGUGACCUCCUGCUAUAUUAAAUCCUGAAGACUUAAGCAGCUCGACGGGCACCACUUCGCAAGCUGAGGACUAUCCAAUUGUUAUGCAAUUCCUACCUUACAGCUAAGUUUUUGUUUGUUUCACUCAUUUUUCAAUGAGGAAUUCAUAAGUAAUUUUCAACUUGGCUUAGCUGCAUGGUUACAACAAUUGAUCACUCUUACACUUCAAAAGAAAGAUUGCGCCCUUCUUAGUGACUUGUCGCAAGACUUGCACCCCCUUGAGGACCAAACCAUGCUCUCCAGUGCAAAAGGGAAAACCAAUUCUCUGACACCCAUAUGGAUUUGCACUCCGAUGCAUGAGGAUAAACUAUACAUUCAAAAUAUCUAGACAUGGAUGAGUCAAGCUACCCUGGUUUAACUAGGUGUAAGAUGUCUUGCGCUGAGAUUCCUAGAAUUAAACACAAUGGUCAUUUUCAAGGUUUAGCUAACUGAAGGAUUUUUGGUCUAUUGGCCUAAUCCGUGGGGAACCAGGCCUCAGAGACGGAAGAGGCACAUUAUGCAGUACGCCCUUUGGAUGGCUGCCAUGGAACCCUAAAGCUGCUACGAGUACAUUAAGGUAGCCUACGGUUUCUAGAACACUGCCUACGGCUUGCCCUUCAAGCAAUAAGUCAUGUUAAACUUAUACAACCGCACAUUUUUGUGAAAGGUUCAACAGUUAGCGUGUAUAUACGAAGCUCUAUCCACUGUCGACAUUCUACGCAGUCGAUAAGCUUCACCACUGCCAAGUACAGAAGGAUCGUUUAGAUCUACAUUAAUUCCUAAAGUGUUGUGAUACUUGCUAUGCAACCCAUGGAAUUGGUUAUGUAAGGAGCAAAGAGUUCUCCAAGACCUUUGCUUAGGAAAUUCCAUAUAAUCGUGUACUUUUGAUAUGAACGGUUAACGAAUUUCAUGACCCAAAAAUCUUUAAUAAGUUGUGAUGCAGGUCACACAGCUCAAAGGAUUAAAAAAAGCCAAGGUUAACAACCAAGUGGUCAUGCAGACUUGUCUGCUUCUAUACUCAAAGCUUUCGGCUACCGACCCUAUGGCUAACAACUUUGCAACAUUUUUACACCAACACCUAUGGAUGCAUAACCUACGUGGGCCUGUCUGCUUAUAGAAAAGUAGCACAUAUGCCACUAGUCUAAAGGUUAAAAGUUGGGCGUAAACAAAAGAAGCAAAGAUGAAGAAAAGUGAAGGAAGCAAGUUUAUUAAAUUUUCAAGAAAAAUUGAUAAACAAAUAGCAAAGGCCAAAGGAGUUCAAGCAAAGAAAAAAAGCAACAAGGAAAAUAAGGAAAAUCCUAAAGGCUAACUAAAAGACCACUCUUCAACAACUUAGACAUCUCACGACUACUCGGUCGCCACACCUUCAGUAGUCGCAACGCUCAGCAGCAACAUCAUCCAAUGUUUUACCGCCAGCUGCCCCAGCUUGGGCACUAACUUCUCCGACUCCUGCACGAAUGGAAGCCUAAAAAAUAAAGGCAAGCAAAUCUUCUAGAGAAAUAGAAAAUGUCUUGAAGUCUUUCCCAACAAACUCAAAGUCAUACGACCUACCAAAGAAAUGAUCUACAUAACCCAGCUUGUAGAAAUUGGCAUAACUCUAAACAAACGAAGCCUCAAGCCCCGCCUUCUCACUCUUCAGUUGCUUGUUCUCCUCGAGCUGAGCAACACAGAUGGGUUAUAGCUCAUCCACUUCCUUCUUCAGACUUUCAUUGAUCUUAAGUGCACCUUGGAGUUCUAACACUUAGAGUUCAAGCCUAUUGACGACCUUUUUGAAGUGGAUCACUUGAUUAUAAGCAACAAUCAACUCUUCAUCCUUUGCGUAAGUAGCAGAAUGAAGCUCAAAAAUGGCACGUUCAAGAUCUUGAAUCUAAGGUAUGUAACAUUCAAUCUCCUUCUCUACACUUCCAUAUUUAACUUAGAUCGCGUCAAGCCUAGUCUUCAAGUCAACGAUCUUCUAGUAAGUGGUAUCAAGCUGCAAAGAAGUGGGGGCAGAGAUAUUAGACCCAUUCAAAGCGAUGAGCUCAGACUCCAACCUCUUGAUCUUCUCAGCGGAAGAAUAACCUUCAGGUGCCAUAGUUUUUGCUAUCUCCUUGGCAGCCUUGGUAUCUUCUUGGUUCAGGAGUAUAAACUCGGCUGCCAAAAUCGCCAUUUUUUUCAUCAUAGCAAGUAGAGUAGUCCUUCUAUAUUGGACAAACAACCCCCAUCUAACACCAUCAACAAGCUUGGCACACGCGUCUUUGUCUUCAAGUAGAGUUGGCUUCAAAAGUGCACAAAUCUCAGUAGCCUCUCUAGAAACAGGCUUGGUGGAUUUCUCACAACUGCCCAAAUGAGCAGUCUCAUCUUCUCAGCAGGCGAACCAAUCUCAGCAGCAAAAGGAUAAGGCAUUGGCGCCACUAUAGCAACGGAGUCCACCUUAUCGUUUAGUAACAAGCUUCUUCGAAUAGGAACCAUUCUUAGCUCUUAACAGACAUCUUGGAAUAGAUUUUGGUAUUGGGGGCACAACGGAACCUCUACGUUGAGCAAUCAUAUAUACAAUCGUACUAGCUACCUUCGACAUGGUAUGUGUCACUAGUUCAAAUCUAGCAGCCUUAUCUUUCUUCCCCCUUGGAAAAAGUCAAGUCAAUCACAAACCUACAGGCAGCAAGCGGACCCUCACGAGCAAUGGAAAAAGCCUUCAAUUUUUCUUCACCGGCAUCUCUUGAGCAGGCUGAGAAUAUCUCUUCUUUCCACCUUCAUUCACAGCAGGCUCUAUAAUCUGCUUUAUCGGACAAGCUAAUGCAUCCGCCUUAAUCCAUUUUAUCUCCUCUAUCGGGGGCAGCCUACAUUUCUUCCGGCGAAGAUGACUAUGCAACCAACACCACUCAUGGUACUCAGUAGAGAUACCUAAAGUAGCAUGCCCCUUCUUCAUAUCUAAAGAAGUCUUGGGAGUUGAGCCGAAUUCUGAAUCUACAUAAGCAGAGAAGGACAAUCAACAAAUCAAAAAGCAACUCAAGAAAAGCACAAAGCAGCGUAAAGACUAAGAAGUCUACUUAAUGAUGAUGAAAAUCAUCGGAACGUGCAGCUCAAAGGAAGAAUCAGAUUCUCAUUUCCUCCUUAUCUCCAAAGUCUCCUUGGCCCAGUCGUGAUUUCCCUUACUCGAAUGAUCGAAUAGCCUAUGAUGGGAUCGUAGCUGCCUAACUCUAUCAAUAUGGCCUAUGUCAAAGAAGUACCAAAAUUCGCUAAUAGUCAGAUCUAAGUCAAAGAAUUAGCUUAUAUUGAGGAACGCCACCAUCACAUGGACCACAUUUAGAGAACAUUGAGAGAAGGCAUACUUCAUGAAGCAAAGCACUUCUUGGAAGAAACGUGGCAUAGGAAAAGUAAAUCCCAACACAAAGUAGUAGGGGUGAAACUUGCUCUCUGAGCCCCACUACUUGGCUUAAGGCUACCACCUUCCUUGACAUACUUCACACGCACCCGAGACGAAAUGACGUGCCUAUAUGCUUCAAGAAAAUCUCUGAACGAGUCAUCGGAGCUAAUUUUGAAGUGAGCAGCCUUGAAGUAGCCCACUUUACUCAAAGACCCACCUUGGGGUUACAACAGCGGCACACCAUCAUCACUCUUGUGGCUUGAA
RNAcentral lists this long non-coding RNA (36818 nucleotides) under Malus domestica (apple). RNAcentral describes it as "long non-coding RNA (MDOM_LNC005547)". Lineage: Eukaryota; Viridiplantae; Streptophyta; Magnoliopsida; Rosales; Rosaceae. The record is from RNAcentral.